AUGGCAAGCAGCUCCGAUGUCGUUCCUGCCGCUGCAAGGAAGCUGGACGGCAAGGUGGCGCUGAUCACCGGCGGCGCGAGCGGCAUCGGCGAGGGCACGGCGCGGCUGUUCGUGCAGCACGGGGCCAGCGUCGUCCUCGCCGACAUCCAGGACGACCUCGGCGCGCGCCUCUGCGCGGAGCUCGGCCCGGCGGCCUCCAGCUACGUGCGGUGCGACGUCACCAAAGAGGAGGACGUCGCGGCGGCCGUCGACCACACCAUCGCCAGGUUCGGGAAGCUGGACAUCAUGUUCAACAACGCCGGCAUCGGCGGUGCGGCAUGCCACAGCAUCCGGGACAGCACCAAGGAGGACUUCGAGCGCGUGCUGGCCGUCAACCUCGUGGGGCCCUUCCUGGGUACCAAGCACGCGGCGCGGGUCAUGGUGCCCGCGCGGCAAGGCUGCAUCAUCGGGACGUCGAGCCUGGCGUCGGCGGUGGGCGGCGUGGCGUCGCACGCGUACACGUGCGCCAAGCGCGCCCUGGUCGGGCUGACGGAGAACGCGGCGACGGAGCUUGGCCAGCAUGGAAUCCGCGUCAACUGCAUCUCCCCGGCGGCGGCUGCCACGCCGCUGGCCACGGGCUACGUGGGGCUUGACGGCGAGGCGUUCGAGAUGGCCAUGGAGUCCUUUGCUAACCUCAAGGGCGUGGGACUGCGGGUCAAGGACAUCGCCGCCGCCGUGCUCUUUCUCGCCAGCGAUGACGCGCGCUACGUGAGCGGCCACAACCUGCUCAUCGACGGCGGCAUCUCCGUCUCAAACCUUACCUUCGGCAUCUUCAAGGAGUAA
This 822-nucleotide ribosomal RNA is filed under the name Triticum aestivum (bread wheat). RNAcentral's name for it is "partial small subunit ribosomal RNA". Lineage: Eukaryota; Viridiplantae; Streptophyta; Magnoliopsida; Poales; Poaceae. The record is from RNAcentral.